Molecule: long non-coding RNA, 1875 nt
Organism: Brassica napus (rape)
Lineage: Eukaryota; Viridiplantae; Streptophyta; Magnoliopsida; Brassicales; Brassicaceae
Exons: 4
Source: RefSeq, a predicted model, not a curated record
CCAUUCUGAGCUUCACUACGACCAAGCUUCUUCGUCUUGCUCUGCCAUCAUCAUCGUUGGGCUUCAGAUCCGCCCAAGAGAAAGCUUCGAUCCUCUCCAAUGGUGGAGUUUUACGUAGUUGCAAGAUAGGUACCUCAACUUCUGCUUUUUAUUUCUGAUCUUUGUUUCCAGAGCAGCCCGAGUUUGAAGAUGGUUUUAACGAGAAUGCAGAAGCUUCAAGAUCUAGCAACAACCAUGUUAGAGCUCUGGAAUUUGAUGGAUGCACCCAUAGAAGAGCAGCAAAAGUAUCAGCAUAUUACCUGCAAUAUAGCUGCAUCAGAACAUGAAAUAACUCAAGCCAAUAGUCUCUCUGAAGACUUCAUCAAAUACGUUGAGGCAGAACACAGUCUCUGGCUUAUGAUCAAAGUGGCAGAAGAAAAGACUAUGGGAGGUAUCUUACUUGAAUCCAAAACUCAAUCAAAACCUCAAGUGUUGGAGAGGAAUUCCAUAUCCCUCUACGAGGCCCAUCUAAUAAUCAGACUUGGCUCUUAUCUGCCAUCAAGCCCGACCGAAGUUGGUCAAGCCGACUUAGAAUUCAACUUUGAACAUUACAAUACAAACCCUAUAUCAUAUUCCAAACUCUAUAUAAGAAGUAUUAAAUCAUAACAUUCUAAAUUUAUAACACUUAUUUUAUACUAAAUUAUGAAAUUAUACAAACUAUAAAAUUUAAAUAAAAUCAGUAUAUUCAUAAUAUAACUUCAAUUCUUAAACUCCAAACCACAUACCUCAUAUUGACCUAUAUCAUAAAACAUUAAAUCUAAAUUUUUAAUAUUUUAGUCAAUCACACAAAUUUAAAUUUAAAUACAAAAUACAGAUUAAAGUUUUAAAUUAUGAUUCAAAUUAUUUAAAGUUUAAAUAGUUUUAAAAUAAUUAUAAAUAAAAAAAGAAUAUAAUGUGUACUGUUUUUUCUGAGCCAUUGAUUGAUUUUUAAGUCAAAGGUCCAAAAUCGAUCUCCUAUCUAUCUUCACCUUUGUUUUCUAUUGGUUUGACGCCGAUAACCAUCUGCACCAUUAGAUGAUACUGAAUCAACGCUUGAGAUUUGUCUCUUUUUUUUCAAUGAUUUUCUAAGAAAAGAUAUAGUGUCAGAGAGAGAGAGAGAGAGAGAGAGAGAGAGCAUGGAUUAUAGGUACCCUCCUGAGUCUAUAUCUCUCUGUUCAUCGUCGUUGAUCUCUUUAACGAGGUAUUCUAUUUGUUUCUUACCAGAACUAUACACUCUUUGUUUAGUUCAUCAGUGGUGGAAGGCUUUUUGGCAAAAUUGCGAGUUUAUCAGUGCAGUUCAUUACUGCCAUAGCAGGAGACUCUACCACAAAGACUUAAAGCCGGAAAAACUUGUUUCUUGAUGCUCAAGGAAAUCUGAAAGUCUGGUUUUGGAUUCAGCGCCUUGUCCCAACAAGUCUCUUACCAUCAUAUUUAUUUGCCUGAGUUCCUACUGAGUUGUUUUUGAAAAAAAAUACAGGCCAGAACAGAAGCUUGUGAAGGAUGGUUUCAUCAUCAGGAAACCAACCAAGAUCCACUCUCCUGAAGAAAUACUGAAAGUCAAAGAAGAUUGACAAGUACAUGUACCAUGUAUCGAGCAGACAAGGCGACAGAGAAACUCUGAUAUAUGUAGCAGACGACUCGAUAGAAGUCAACUCCGGUGACUAGGUGAUGCGACGAUAGCACUCUGAAGGCGGAUGCUUAGUUUAGGUUUAGGUUAAUUAUGUUUUGGUUUUAUGUUUUAAUUUUGUUUUUGGUUUAAUGUGUUCUUUAAUUUAUUUGUUUUUAACAACAUGAUGUUCUUUAAUUAUUUGUAUACUGGUUUUAAUUAAUAAAUAAAAUUUAAUUUUUAAAAAUUAA